AUAUCAGUCAUGCAUAGCAUAUCAAUAAGCGGAGGAAAAGAAACUAACAAGGAUUCCCUUAGUAACGGCGAGUGAAGCGGGAAGAGCUCAAAUUUGAAAUCUUCAAGGUUUUACCUUGACGAAUUGUAGUUUAAAGAAGUGUUUUCUGUUGAAGUUUUGGUAAAAGUUCUUUGGAAUAGGACAUCAUAGAGGGUGAGAAUCCCGUAUUUGACCAUUACUUUCAGCUUUGUGAUACACUUUCAAAGAGUCGGAUUGUUUGGGAAUGCAGUCCAAAAUGGGUGGUAAAUUUCAUCUAAAGCUAAAUAUUGGCGAGAGACCGAUAGCGAACAAGUACCGUGAGGGAAAGAUGAAAAGAACUUUGAAAAGAGAGUUAAACAGUACGUGAAAUUGUCAAAAGGGGAAGCGUUUGACACCAGUGUUGUUUUCUCGAAAAUCAAUUAAAAAGAGUUGGAUUUUGUGUUGUAUUGACUUUAUCAGCUUUCUUCACUCUUUUCCAGCUUUUUUUAAUGCACUUUUCGUUUAACAAGUCAACAUCAGUUUCUUUUGUUGUAAAAAGGUCAUUGGAAGGUGGCUUUCUCUUCGGAGAAAGUGUUUAUAGCCUUUGACUCAUGCAAUCGGAGAGACUGAGGUCUGCAGCGUAGAUCCUUCGGGGUUAGAUACAUUUGUGCUAAGUUAUAGCUUUUCAUAGACAACUUGUUGACUAUGUUUAGUCUUGUAGCUUACUCGCUUAUGCUAUUUUACCUACGCUUAGGAUGUUGAACUCUAUCACACACAG
RNAcentral lists this ribosomal RNA (775 nucleotides) under uncultured Neocallimastigales. RNAcentral describes it as "partial large subunit ribosomal RNA". It matches the Rfam family "Eukaryotic large subunit ribosomal RNA", at positions 22 to 628 of the family's 3401-position model. Lineage: Eukaryota; Fungi; Neocallimastigomycota; Neocallimastigomycetes; Neocallimastigales. The record is from RNAcentral.